GAUGAAGAACGCAGCGAAAUGCGAUAAGUAAUGUGAAUUGCAGAAUUCAGUGAAUCAUCGAAUCUUUGAACGCACAUUGCGCCCGCCAGUAUUCUGGCGGGCAUGCCUGUUCGAGCGUCAUUUCAACCAUCAAGCCCCAGGCUUGUGUUGGGGACCUGCGGCUGCCGCAGGCCCUGAAAACCAGUGGCGGGCUCGCUGUCACACCGGGCGUAGUAGCACAUCUCGCUCAGGGCGUGCGGCGGGCUCCUGCCGUGAAACCCCCCACUGUAACCCCAAAGGUUGACCUCGGAUCAGGUAGGAAUACCCGCUGAACUUAAGCAUAUCAAUAAGCGGAGGA
Molecule: unclassified non-coding RNA, 337 nt
Filed under: soil metagenome
Description: partial contains 5.8S ribosomal RNA, internal transcribed spacer 2, and large subunit ribosomal RNA
Rfam family: 5.8S ribosomal RNA (bases 1-120)
Source: RNAcentral